UCUGUCGUGAGACAGGAAGUGAAGGAAGCAGGACUACAAACCUUGGUACUGACGAACAGAAACCAGAUAUGAGGCUGUGAGGUUGGAUGAGCAAGCACAUCAUUGUGACGUCCUAAACGCUUUUAAAGUGAAUACCGAAGCAGUAGAUCUGGCAGGAAUCGAGGGAAAGAAGAUGUU
RNAcentral lists this non-coding RNA (177 nucleotides) under Salegentibacter agarivorans. Lineage: Bacteria; Pseudomonadati; Bacteroidota; Flavobacteriia; Flavobacteriales; Flavobacteriaceae. The record is from RNAcentral.